GCUAAUUAUAAGUUGCCUUGUUUUAAUUGAAUAAAUUGUGUUUUUAAAGUGUUCUCGUACAUUUGCCACCACUAAACUUAUCUGCUUCAAUGUUUGUCGGUAGCAAACGAGCGUCCGCAAGAGGUGAAAACAAAGAAGGACUACCAUCACGAUCGCGUACCGAUUCAGGGACAAAGUUUUUCCGCCCAACAACCGUCGCCGGGUGGAAGUAAUUUAAAUUCAAAAUGUGAUCGUUGUGCGAAAACUUUCAGUCGCAGCACAAUGCAAACCUGCGGCGUUCGAGCGGGAAAACGGAUACACUUCACAUGUACACACAUAUGCAACCCGAGAGUUCACUGUUGAGGGUAGACUGGGGAUGUGGCAAUUCGUCUUGGAAAAAUAUUACCACAAAGUUAGCGCCAACUCCUCCAGGGACACUCGUCCGGCGCAGUGGUGGUGGUUCGAUUGUAAAUCAGAUGCUAGCUGGUGCCACCAUCCCGGAGGAACCCGAUGGAGUGGAUCAGCCAGUUGGUAGUUUAUAUGAUGCUACUUACCACCAUAGUUUGGUGUGCAGGUCACACAUUUUACGCCAAGUUACACAUGGCACCCCGCAAGCGUCCCCGGGCUGAAAGCUCGAACUUCAUUCCCGGCGAACCCGGAGUACCGGAGGACACAAUGUCACGUCCAAUAGAUGGGCCACUUCCGGGUGGAAGAAAACCGAGAGAGAGCGAGCGAACGAGCGAGACACUGGACUAUCAGUUGCAUUCGGGAGCUGACUGUUGGGCGGACUUUUGGAAAAUUGGAAAGGAUUUUAUGCCCAAGUAGUAGGUAGCACAAGAAAAACAAAAUCAUCAAGGAUUCAUCCAACAUGAAGGAUGCUUUCCCCAUCUCGAGUCGAGAAGAAGGUCUUGAUUAAAGGUUUACAAUCCUGGCACUUUUUGCUGCAGCCGAUGGGCGCUGUUGUUGUGAAUCUCUUCAGGCGUAUCACUUGGAGAUUGGGAGCAUCGAAAAAACGGGAAAAGCGGGGUCCAUAAAUAUGCUUUUUAGGAUAUGGUGUGCGUUUUUGCGUAGCCCCUUCGGUGCCACGCAUUCGGUUGGAGUGCGUGUAAUUAAGUUUUAAUUGAAAAUUCCUGCCCGGUGGUGUUUUGUGCGAAGAGGUUCCUUCACACUCACACGCACAUCCCAGGAAUACUGUAAGCCGGGUAUGUCUAGAAUGUAGCAAAAGUUGGCGUUGUGCGGUGGAGAGAGAAAGAGAGCUCAACACACCCAAACGUUGCACGCCUGAAUUGCGUGUUUUAUUGCAUGUAAUUCUGCAGUAAUUCCUGGAAGGUUGAUGGCAGCGUGGAGGACGUAGUGGACGAGAUGAGCUCAUAAACGGCUUCAGAUCAUCUGGAAGUACGUACGCACGGGAAAUAAGCGCGUGCACAUCAUUCCCGGCAUUGUACGGUUGGAACUGUGGAAGUCGUAAAAAAUAUUUCGCUCCUGGACGCUGGAUCUCUCGUCUGGGUCUAGGCUCUUUACAAUGCUGGGAGGCAAAAGGCGAUAUGGACAGUGAGCAAUGAACGUGUAAUGGGCAGGAUAAAAGAGUCGUGUAAUGAAACCUACAAUCAGGGUGUUUAUUUGCACGGUAACGUAUCGUGCAAUAAGUAUAGAAGGUUUAGUACCAUCCAAGCGUAAAUAAUACUAGGUAAUAUAUGAUUGAUUAAGCUAGAUCCUCUUCAAGCAGAUAAGGUAUGUAGCCUUUGUAAAAAUCUUCAAUAUUUAAAACUGCGGCGACUCUGGCUCGUUCUCACAAUCCACCCGCGGGUUGGCAAAUUAUGAAGUAAUUAUUCACUCUACGACACCUCCCCCAAAGGCGUACCGCCAUAAAUCCGUUGAAAAGGAACAAAAUGAAAUACUGCAACCGCGGCAAAUGGCUGCCAGAGAAUGGCGAGGAAUUUUAGUUUAACGGGUGAAUGAUAAUUAUUUAAGCGUGGGUACAAACAAAACUCACCCCCCUUCAAAUGGUUUUAAUGUCGUGGUAAUGAUUUAGCAGCCAUUUUUUUCGCUCAUUCACAGACUAGAAACAAAAGGAAAAUCAUGGUGUACCGGUGUGCACUUCCCUGUCCGCUGGGAGAGUGGGAUUAUCGUUGGUUUCUUUUUGUAUCGAGGCCAUGUGUUUCGGCUAUGGGAGUUCCGAGACGCGGAUAGAUAUUAGCGAUGAGUUGUGCCACCGGAGAUGAGCAUUCCUGUCGAUGGAAAAAUUCCUUGAUAUCACUUUUCUCCUCUUACAAAUAAAACUGUUUAGGGAUAGACUCCUACUGGACUCAGUGACAGUCAGUGACAUACGGCCAGAGAUUGCAGCUCGCGCCGUACCUUUCUGUUGGAUGCCAUUUUUUUCUUCUCUUCUGUAAAUGAAAAUUCCCACUGGUGGUGUUUUGUGUGCACCCUGCCAGCGCGUAGGGUUCCCUUUUGCGUUACAUAUUUUUUGUGUUCACGCAACGGCAAAAACCAACGGCACGUCACGCAAGCAAGAAGAAGUACGAUUCCCCUCCGGGAGUUUCCCGGAAGGAUUCGUGUGGAACGAUAGCUCGGAGGGAAAAUUGAAAGAACGCGAAUGCCGCGGAAACCACGGAACCUCGAACAUGACAGGCCCACAAAUGACCACUGACACGCGGAAAACGGAACGGGACGGAACGCGCUAGAACCGCUCGUUCGGCCGGGAGAUAUUCACAGAUAAUUAUGGUAAAUUAUGGACGCGCAAAGUAUUUUUCGUGUUGCUCUGAGCGAGAGCUGAAAUUAAUACCACUCCCCAGGACGGACGGAUCGGUGGCGUCAGUUUUUGUGAUGUGAGGAAGAAAAUAAAAACGGCCAGCAUAAAACCACAACAAGAUAACACCAAAGCGGAAGGAGAUAUAUAGUAAAUGCCGCCUCGUCGAAUGGAAUGGAUUGAAUUA
Long non-coding RNA from Anopheles stephensi (Asian malaria mosquito), 2915 nucleotides. RefSeq lists it as uncharacterized. NCBI's taxonomy places the organism in Eukaryota, Metazoa, Arthropoda, Insecta, Diptera, Culicidae. The record is from RefSeq and is a predicted model, not a curated record. The transcript has 4 exons.